Molecule: long non-coding RNA, 963 nt
Organism: Anolis carolinensis (green anole)
Lineage: Eukaryota; Metazoa; Chordata; Lepidosauria; Squamata; Anolidae
Exons: 3
Source: RefSeq, a predicted model, not a curated record
AGGGGGGCUAAAGGCAACAGAGCCUACCUUUCUCUCUUCUGAGGGGAAAGGGGCUGAGGAAAGGGAAGCCCCGCCCACCAUUGCAACAUUUUGUGGAAGUUGGAUUAGGCUCCGCCCACAGGUGCAAGGUCCUCUGGGUAAUGUAGUUGUUUCAGUUCAGGCGCAGCUCUGCACUUGCAUGCUAGAAGAUGAGGCCUCAGUGUGUUGGUGUUUUCUACUAUGGACCAUCAAGCCCACAUCUGAAGCUACAGGUCCUCAGAAUGGCUGUAGAAGGAGAUUUAUGCAGAAUUGCAGAAAGGAGUGCCAAGACCAAUACCUGCUCGCCUUCUGAGCUGUCUCUGCAGAAUUCUUUCUGUUAGAACAGAUUCUCCAACUGAGGUCACCGACAAGUACAAACACUGAGCAAAAAUCAACCUGCAGUCCUGUAGCUUCUCUAACAAGUCCAGGGAAAUUACUAGCCGAAAUACAAACAAAUAAACCUGUGGCCUUAAAAAAGCAACAGGAAAAAUAUUCUUCAGCUUUACAAAAGCUCCUUUCUAAUCACUUUGAGACCAAGCUUAUUUCCCACAGGUGAUCAGAAAAAAGUUUCUUCCAAACUUAUAAAAACAUUAUGUUCUAACUUAUGAACCUAGGCACACCUCUAGUCCAUUUAUGCACUUUAGACUACCUCAUCAAAGAGGUUAAGAAACAUUACUAUUUUUACAGAAGCUAAAUGAUUGACUAUAUACAAGAAAGCCAAUGGGGAUACUGGGAAACUCCUGAAUCUGGAUGAGAAUUCCACACAGAAUUUGCUUAAUAUAAACCCUUGCUAGUGAAACAUACUUUGCUUUAUUUGUGUUUGACAUUAUAAUUGGGAAUAAGAACUAAUGUUAAUUUAUUAAGAUGUAUUUGAGUAUAUUUUACAAACAUGUGGCUUUGUUGAGGGAUGUAAGAGAAAAGAAAACAUCAAAUCAUACCCUGCAA